This 468-nucleotide ribosomal RNA is filed under the name uncultured bacterium. RNAcentral describes it as "partial 16S ribosomal RNA". It matches the Rfam family "Bacterial small subunit ribosomal RNA", at positions 28 to 507 of the family's 1533-position model. The record is from RNAcentral.
GACGAACGCUGGCGGCGUGCUUAACACAUGCGAGUCGAACGGAAAGGCCCUGCUUUUGUGGGGUGCUCGAGUGGCGAACGGGUGAGUAACACGUGAGUAACCUGCCCUUGACUUUGGGAUAACUUCAGGAAACUGGGGCUAAUACCGGAUAGGAGCUCCUGCUGCAUGGUGGGGGUUGGAAAGUUUCGGCGGUUGGGGAUGGACUCGCGGCUUAUCCGCUUGUUGGUGGGGUAGUGGCUUACCAAGGCUUUGACGGGUAGCCGGCCUGAGAGGGUGACCGGCCACAUUGGGACUGAGAUACGGCCCAGACUCCUACGGGAGGCAGCAGUGGGGAAUAUUGUACAAUGGGCGGAAGCCUGAUGCAGCAACGCCGCGUGCAGGAUGACGGCCUUUGGGUUGUAAACCGCUUUCGCCUGUGACGAAGCGUGAGUGACGGUAAUGGGUAAAGAAGCACCGGCUAACUACGUG